GAAAAAGAAAUGACUAAUCUAAAAGCCCCUGGAUAAUUAGUUCCUUCCUGAAAAUGGAGGAAAAGUUUGGUAAAGAAAGAUUCCAGGCUGAGAGGAUUGUUACAUUUUUUUUUUAACGACAUGAAAAGCCUAACAAACAACAUAGCAAAAAUAAAUAAUGUAUAAACUAUUCUAUUUAAACUUAUAUUAUUUAUAGUCACUCUAUAUUAAUCACUUCUAAGAUAAAUAAAAUCUUCAUGGAAACAGCAGGCAAAAACAUUGGCUGACUAUUUCUCUCGUAUGAAAUGCUAAACUAUGAAAUUCAACUAUAUUUGGAAAAUUCAAUUAUAUAUUUAUUUCUUAAGAACAACUAAUAAACUUAUAGACAAACUCAUGUAAAAAUUCAAUAACAUUUGAAAGGUAAAUAAACAGUGCUAAUGAGCAUUAUUACAAUCCUUUCCCAUGUGUGAUGUAUGUUUGUGACUAACAUCUGUUGAGAUUAGGAAAACUUAUUAUAUUAAAAUACAGGGAAAUUUUACUUGAUAAAUUAAUCUAGAUGGGAAAUCUAUUUUUAAAAAGUUUCAUUUGUGAAAAGGUAUAAAUACCUGGUCACACACAGUUACAUUUUGUUGAUAGAAAUAGACUUUAUUAGAUCAGUAGAAUCAGGCAAUAAUGACGUGGUCACCAAGACACUUUGAGAAGUAGCCAUGAUGAAGAGGAAGAAGUCAUCAAGUUUUUCAUUCUUACAACCACAAAAGAGAGGGAAGAAAUGGGGUUCCACUGGGACAACAACAGCGGUCGUACAGAAAUGGCUGGGUGGGGAUCAAAGGACACGGUAAGCCUAGGAACCCAGGAAUUCCCUGGGCAGAUCUCCGUCUGUGGUUUGUCCCGAGGGCACCAUCAUGGCCAACAUAAGUAAACCAGCUGUUUGUGGAUCCAUGUUGCCUUACCCGUGCUGUGUUCUUAUAGAUCCCUCGGCAAAGUCCAUGCCCCCUAGCUACCCACAGUGCGACACUAGUGCUCUACUGUCUAGGUAUGUCAGCAUCACAGUAAGAAUGCCCGCGCAUCCAAACCAUGAUGGGUAAAGGAGGCUUUGGAAAUCAGCUAGCCACAGCAAGGGAAGCAAUUGAAGUCGUUAACUUUUUUUCUUCCAGCACAGAAAAGGGCAUUUUCUUUGUCCUCAAGUGACCAAAAAAUGCUUUUAAACACUCGAGGGGAAGUAGUUUGCAAAUGGCCAGCAUGUUGAUGGUCGUUAUCCAUUUGGCUCCCAUUUCCCAGGCUGGAGAAGCCUGUGUGUGCAGUCCCUCAGCACGGCCUUCUGAAGGCGCACCUCCUGCAGAGGUGUUGACGGGAAAGGCGAGGAAGAGGGGAUAAUGUGACCUGCUUUUACCAGGAAGCUUCAGAUCAUUUCCCUUUGUCUCUGUGCCCCUUUGGGAGAUUUUGAUCCAAUUUGCUGUGGUGAGAAGAAGCUCUCAACAUUACAAG
Long non-coding RNA from Sapajus apella (tufted capuchin), 1464 nucleotides. RefSeq lists it as uncharacterized. The transcript has 2 exons. NCBI's taxonomy places the organism in Eukaryota, Metazoa, Chordata, Mammalia, Primates, Cebidae. The record is from RefSeq and is a predicted model, not a curated record.